CCUACGGGCGGCAGCAGUGGGGAAUAUUGCACAAUGGGGGAAACCCUGAUCCAGCGACGCCGCGUGAGUGAAGAAGUAUCUCGGUACGUAAAGCUCUUUCAGCAGGGAAGAAAAUGACGCUACCUGACUUAGAUGCCCCGGCUCUAUACGCGUACGCACCCGCGGUAACACGUAGGGGGCAAGCGUUAUCCGGAUUUAUCGGGUGUAAAGGGGGCGUAGACGGGAGGACACGGCUGGGGUGAAAUCUCGGGGCGUAAACCCGGAACUGCUUUUGAAACUGUGGGGCUUGAGUGCAGGAGAGGUAAGCGGAAUGCCUGGUGUAGCGGUGAAAUGCGUAGAUAUAAGGAAGAACACCAGUGGCGAAGGCGGAUCACUGGACCGUAACUGACGCUGAGGUUCGAAAGCGUGGGUAGCAAACAGGAUUAGAUACCCGGGUAGUC
This 440-nucleotide ribosomal RNA is filed under the name uncultured bacterium. RNAcentral's name for it is "partial 16S ribosomal RNA". It matches the Rfam family "Bacterial small subunit ribosomal RNA", at positions 338 to 795 of the family's 1533-position model. The record is from RNAcentral.